UGGGUUUCUUUUAAUGGUGUAUUGGCCA
This 28-nucleotide non-coding RNA is filed under the name Mus musculus (house mouse). Lineage: Eukaryota; Metazoa; Chordata; Mammalia; Rodentia; Muridae. The record is from RNAcentral.